UUCAUUAUAAAAGUUGAACCCAGGGGGAGGACGAAUUACAAGCAUAUAGGCACUCAUAUAUCAACUAAAAGAAAGACAUAUCAGGGGUUCUGAUACACCCCUAUAAUGCCAUCCAGAUCAGAACUUGAUCAAGGACUUGAGACAUACCUCAGCACCAUCGACAGCCUCAGUAAUGAGAGCUCCAUCCAGGGAAAGAUCCUCAAGGGCAAUAUCUCGCCCCUUGAUUGCCAUUGUAGAUCUUUCUGAAAUGGAGCAGUUUCCACUCACUUUGCUUUUUACUUCCGAGAAAGUCCCCUUGAUUGCCAUUGUAGAUCUUUGUGAAAUGGAGCAGUUUCCACUCACUUUCCUUUUUACUUCCGAGAAAGUAAGCGCCCAUUUCGGCUUCCACACAACUCGAGACCAUACUUCCACCUCCUGUCCGUUAAAGACUUGAAU
Molecule: long non-coding RNA, 435 nt
Filed under: Nicotiana benthamiana
Lineage: Eukaryota; Viridiplantae; Streptophyta; Magnoliopsida; Solanales; Solanaceae
Description: long non-coding RNA (NBEN_LNC041304)
Source: RNAcentral